This 944-nucleotide non-coding RNA is filed under the name Asterorhombus intermedius (intermediate flounder). RNAcentral's name for it is "12S ribosomal RNA". It matches the Rfam family "Bacterial small subunit ribosomal RNA". The record is from RNAcentral. Lineage: Eukaryota; Metazoa; Chordata; Actinopteri; Pleuronectiformes; Bothidae.
UAAAGGUUUGGUCCUAGCCUUACUAUCGGCCCUAGUUUAAUCUACACAUGCAAGUAUCAGCACCCCCGUGAGGAUUCCCGCAGCCUCCCGAACGGAGAUGUGGAGUUGGUAUCAGGCUCGAAAUAAAUGCCCAAAACACCUUGCUCAGCCACACCCUCAAGGGCAUUCAGCAGUGACAGACAUUAAGCCAUGAGCGAAAGCUCUACUCAGUUAAAACUAAGAGGGCUGGUUAAGCUCGUGCCAGCCGCCGCGGUUAUACGAGAAGCCCAAGUCGAUAGUCAGCGGCGUAAAGAGUGGUUAAGGGGAAAUUAAACUGAAGUAGAAACAUCACAGGACGGUAAUAUGACCACCGAGACCCGUAAGACCAACAACGAAAGUGACUUCAAUAAACCUGAGCCCACGAGAGCUGAGGAACAAACAGGGAUUAGAUACCCCCCUAUGCUCAGUCGUAAACAUUGAAUGGAUUUAACAGAUUUAUUCCGCCCGGGAACUACGAACAUUAGUUUAAAAACCAAAGGACUUGGCGGUGCUUCACACCACCUAGAGGAGCCUGUUCUGUAACCGAUACCCCCCGUUAAACCUCACCCUCCCUAGCCCCAUCCACCUAUAUACCGCCGCCGUCAGCCUACCCUGAGAAGGACUAGUAGUGCGCAAGAUUGGUUACAGCCCAAAACGUCAGGUCGAGGUGUAGUGUAUGGGAGGGGAAGAAAUGGGCUACAUUUGCUCCUGGAGCAACACGGAUGUCUCAAUGAAAAUAGAGCCUGAAGGAGGAUUUAGCAGUAAGCAGGAAGCAGAGUGUCCUGCUGAACUCGGCCCUGAAGCGCGCACAUACCGCCCGUCACCCUCACUAAGCGUUUAAUGUUCUGGUAAAUAACCCGAUUAAUUAGUUAAAGGGAGGAAAGUCGUAACAUGGUAAGCGCACCGGAAGGUGCGCUUGGACAAAU